UGGGGAAUAUUGGACAAUGGGCGAAAGCCUGAUCCAGCCAUGCCGCGUGUGUGAAGAAGGCCUUUUGGUUGUAAAGCACUUUAAGUGGGGAGGAAAAGCUUGUGGUUAAUACCCAUAAGCCCUGACGUUACCCACAGAAUAAGCACCGGCUAACUCUGUGCCAGCAGCCGCGGUAAUACAGAGGGUGCAAGCGUUAAUCGGAAUUACUGGGCGUAAAGCGCGCGUAGGUGGUUAUUUAAGUCAGAUGUAAAAGCCCCGGGCUUAACCUGGGAACUGCAUCUGAUACUGGAUAACUAGAGUAGGUGAGAGGGGAGUAGAAUUCCAGGUGUAGCGGUGAAAUGCGUAGAGAUCUGGAGGAAUACCGAUGGCGAAGGCAGCUCCCUGGCAUCAUACUGACACUGAGGUGCGAAAGCGUGGGUAGCAAACAGGAUUAGAUACCCUGGUAGUCCACGCCGUAAACGAUGUCUACCAGUCGUUGGGUCUUUUAAAGACUUAGUGACGCAGUUAACGCAAUAAGUAGACCGCCUGGGGAGUACGGCCGCAAGGUUA
RNAcentral lists this ribosomal RNA (549 nucleotides) under uncultured bacterium. RNAcentral describes it as "bacterial SSU rRNA". It matches the Rfam family "Bacterial small subunit ribosomal RNA", at positions 355 to 896 of the family's 1533-position model. The record is from RNAcentral.